GAACGAAGGCUUCGGCCUUAGUGGCGCACGGGUGCGUAACGCGUGGGAAUCUGCCCUCAGGUUCGGAAUAACAGCGAGAAAUUGCUGCUAAUACCGGAUGAUAUCGCGAGAUCAAAGAUUUAUCGCCUGAGGAUGAGCCCGCGUAGGAUUAGCUAGUUGGUGUGGUAAAGGCGCACCAAGGCGACGAUCCUUAGCUGGUCUGAGAGGAUGAUCAGCCACACUGGGACUGAGACACGGCCCAG
This 242-nucleotide ribosomal RNA is filed under the name uncultured bacterium. Its description in RNAcentral is "partial 16S ribosomal RNA". It matches the Rfam family "Bacterial small subunit ribosomal RNA", at positions 64 to 334 of the family's 1533-position model. The record is from RNAcentral.